UAUUGCACUUCCACGGAUGCCUCAGAAGGAGGACCUCUGCUCCCUGACUAUCGUUGACCGCAGGCUUCAGCUCUCAGAAGAUUAGUGAAAGAUGAUGGCUGAUCUGGAGCAUCUUCGCUGAGGACAAAACGAGAUAGAUGACGCUUUGGAGACAUCUUUCUGGGGACGUGAAUGUGUGAGGGCGAGGCCAGACUCAGGACCUGAAGUGGCAGUGCAGCGCCCCACUCCAGUGACAGAGCUUGAUCAAUGGGUGAAGCUCGUGGAUCCACUUUCCCUCUGGAUGAGGGUUUUUGCAGAAGGACCUUCAGUUCCUCGUGCAAAUGGACUUUUGUCCCCCUGUCAGUACCCCAGCUAACUGUUCCACUAGGACCCCACCUGAAUUAUAUUAGAGCAGUUGUGAACUCAGGAGAGCAGCCUCACUGCCGUGCUGACGAUUUGCCCUGAGUCAGGCCCGGUCCUGCACAAAGCCCCAGCCAGGGCAGGUGUUCCCAAGCAGCAACAGAGAACGGAGGUCCCUUUUUGAGAAGACCCGAGACAAUGAUGUGCUUCCACGCCAGAAUGGGAAGAAAUGGUCCAAGAGAGCAAACCAGAAGUAAGAGCAAAAGUGAAGGGGAGCAGUGUGCUUGACAUCCAUUUUGAUAUCACUGAGGCCCAGGUAGAUCUUUCUGCUUUGAGAUGAACUGCUGUAGUAUAUCCUGCUGCUGGACAGAAGUGGUAAGAACCUUCUGCCCAGGCAGUGGAAUGACUCUUUGGCCAGCCAACUUGACAUUCAUUGAUUCUCCUAUCGGAACGAUGUUCCUGUUCAAUUUCCUCCAUAGUCACCCCUGACGUGUUUACUGGGAGAUGAAAUGUGAUCCUUUUGGGAAGCAGAGCUUUUGUGAUCCACUUCCUGAUGUAACAAAUACCAAGGUCAAGGCUUAGGGGUUAGGCAUGUAGGCUAUUGUCAGACAACCCGGGGCUUUCUUUGGUAAUGAGGUCCCUUAAAAGCUUAGGAGUUUCAUCUUUGCUUCUAGGAAUUUCAGUGGGCACUCAGGUACCCAGAGUUAGGUGUCUUCUCUGCCUCUGUGCCAUGUUCACUCCCCUGGCAUAAAGUUUAACUUCCUCACCUUGGAUUAUUUCAAGCGUUGGAUCGUUUGCAAAAGCAGCAACAAUAAUCCUCUCCUUGACCCCAUACUUCAUUCUAGAUACAGCUUCCCAGGGAACAGGGAGUACUUACAAGAAGGUGGCAGAAAGAGGCCUGUGACAACAGGCUCAUCUUUCCCCUCAGUGUUGUCUGUUUCUCAGUCUUCUGCAUCUUCCAUGUCUAACUGUAGCUUGGGUGGACAACACAGCCUUUCUGACCUUGACCAUCUCCAGAUUCUUGGCCCUGCAUUCAACUUGGAUUUUAGGGCAAGAGCACAAAAGGCCUCCUGUUAAUAAAGCUGUGUGGUUUUCUCUC
This is a long non-coding RNA of Lynx canadensis (Canada lynx), 1438 nucleotides long. RefSeq lists it as uncharacterized. Lineage: Eukaryota; Metazoa; Chordata; Mammalia; Carnivora; Felidae. The record is from RefSeq and is a predicted model, not a curated record. The transcript is spliced from 5 exons.